GACGAACGCUGGCGGCGUGGAUUAGGCAUGCAAGUCGAACGGUAUCAUCCUUUCGGGGGUGAGAGAGUGGCGAACUGGUGAGUAACACGUAGGUUAUCUACCCUCAAGACGGGGACAACCCAGGGAAACUUGGGCUAAUACCGGAUGUGAGCAACUUUUAGUUGUUUGAAAGGUGGCGUAAGCUGUCGCUUGGGGAUGAGCCUGCGUCCUAUUAGUUAGUUGGUGAGGUAACGGCUCACCUAGGCAAUGAUAGGUAGGCGGCCUUAACGGGUGGUCGCCCACACUGGGAUUGAGAUACGGCCCAGACUCCUACGGGAGGCAGCAGUCGAGAAUAGUCUACAAUGGUCGGAAGACUGAUAGUGCGACGCCGCGUGAACGAUGAAAUCCCCUUCGGGGUGUAAAGUUCUUUUAUAAUGUGAGCAGUGCUUCUUAUAUUAAACAGUAUGGGGAAGAGAUAUUAGCAUAUGAAAUAAGCAACGGCUAAACUCCGUGCCAGCAGCCGGGUAAA
This 508-nucleotide ribosomal RNA is filed under the name uncultured bacterium. RNAcentral describes it as "bacterial SSU rRNA". It matches the Rfam family "Bacterial small subunit ribosomal RNA", at positions 28 to 524 of the family's 1533-position model. The record is from RNAcentral.